RNAcentral lists this non-coding RNA (45 nucleotides) under Schistosoma margrebowiei. The record is from RNAcentral. Lineage: Eukaryota; Metazoa; Platyhelminthes; Trematoda; Strigeidida; Schistosomatidae.
AUCCAGCUGACGAGUACCAAAUUGUACGAAACGAGCGUUCUAGAU